This is a long non-coding RNA of Marmota flaviventris (yellow-bellied marmot), 243 nucleotides long. RefSeq lists it as uncharacterized. NCBI's taxonomy places the organism in Eukaryota, Metazoa, Chordata, Mammalia, Rodentia, Sciuridae. The record is from RefSeq and is a predicted model, not a curated record.
UUUGCCGGCGCCCCCUGGACCGCGGAGAAGGAACCCCACGAAGCUGCCAUUUUUGUCGGUCAAAUUCAGGUGACAAGUUCACAUGAUGAGACACUCGUGGCAAUUUCUACAAUACUUAUGGACACAGAACUCAACUUCAAACAGGAUUCUUUACCCAGGAGUUGGCUUAAGAGUCUGUAUUUGUUAAUGUGCCAUGGAAUCUCCAAAAGAGGAUAAAAGAAUAAAACAUCCCUAACUUACUUA